This 309-nucleotide ribosomal RNA is filed under the name Bacillus sp. (in: firmicutes). Its description in RNAcentral is "bacterial SSU rRNA". It matches the Rfam family "Bacterial small subunit ribosomal RNA", at positions 56 to 359 of the family's 1533-position model. The record is from RNAcentral. Lineage: Bacteria; Bacillati; Bacillota; Bacilli; Caryophanales; Bacillaceae.
UGCAGUCGAGCGGAGAAGGGAGCUUGCUCCCGGAUGUUAGCGGCGGACGGGGAGUAACACGUGGGUAACCUGCCUGUAAGACUGGGAUAACUCCGGGAAACCGGAGCUAAUACCGGAUAGUUCCUUGAACCGCAUGGUUCAAGGAUGAAAGACGGUUUCGGCUGUCACUUACAGAUGGACCCGCGGCGCAUUAGCUAGUUGGUGAGGUAACGGCUCACCAAGGCGACGAUGCGUAGCCGACCUGAGAGGGUGAUCGGCCACACUGGGACUGAGACACGGCCCAAACUCCUACGGGAGGCAGCAGUAGGG